Molecule: ribosomal RNA, 473 nt
Filed under: uncultured marine bacterium
Lineage: Bacteria
Description: bacterial SSU rRNA
Rfam family: Bacterial small subunit ribosomal RNA
Source: RNAcentral
AGGGUUCGAUCAUGGCUCAGAACGUACGCUGGCGGCACGCCUUAUACAUGCAAGUCGAACGAAGUAGUAAUACUUAGUGGCAGACGGGUGAGUAACAUGUAGGUAUCUUCCCUUUGGUGAGGAAUAACACGAGGAAACUUGUGCUAAUACCUCAUAAGUCUUUACAGAGAAAGCUUUAUGCGCCAGAGGAUGAGCCUGCACUCGAUUAGUUUGUUGGUGGGGUAAAAGCCUACCAAGACUGUGAUCAAUAGCUGAUCUGAGAGGAUGAUCAGCCACAUUGGGACUGAGACACGGCCCAAACUCCUACGGGAGGCAGCAGUAGGGAAUAUUGCACAAUGGAGGAAACUCUGAUGCAGCGAUGCCGCGUGAGUGAAGAAGGCCCUUGGGUUGUAAAGCUCUUUCGUCGGGGAAGAAAAUGACUGUACCCGAAUAAGAAGGUCCGGCUAACUUCGUGCCAGCAGCCGCGGUAAUAC